Molecule: ribosomal RNA, 253 nt
Filed under: uncultured bacterium
Lineage: Bacteria
Description: partial 16S ribosomal RNA
Rfam family: Bacterial small subunit ribosomal RNA
Source: RNAcentral
UACGUAGGGGGCAAGCGUUGUCCGGAUUUAUUGGGCGUAAAGAGCGUGUAGGCGGCCAGGUAGGUCGGUUGUGAAAACUAGAGGCUCAGCCUCUAGACGUCGACCGAAACCACUUGGCUAGAGUCCGGAAGAGGAGAGUGGAAUUCCUGGUGUAGCGGUGAAAUGCGCAGAUAUCAGGAAGAACACCCGUGGCGAAGGCGGCUCUCUGGGACGGUACUGACGCUGAGACGCGAAAGCGUGGGGAGCGAACAGG